GUUGAACGCUGGCGGCAGGCCUAACACAUGCAGGUCGAACGGUCACACGAAGCAGUUUGCUGCCUCGCUGACGCGUCGCGCACGGGAGUGAAACGUCUGGGACCCUGCUUGAUGGAUGGGGUUAACUCCUGGAAACGGUACCUAAUACCGCUUAACUUCGCAAGACCAAAGAGGAGUACCUUAGGGCCUCUUGCCAUCCGAUGUGCCCUGGUGGGAUUAGCUAGUAGGUGGGGUAACGGCUUACCUAGGCAACGAUCCCUAGCUGGUCUGAGAGGGUGACCAGCCACACUGGAACUGAGACACGGUCCAGACUCCUACGGGAGGCAGCAGUGGGGAAUAUUGCGCAAUGGGCGCAAGCCUGAUGGAGCAAUGCCGCGUGUAUGAAGAAGGUCUUCGGAUCGUAAAACUCUGUCAGCAGGGAGGAAGAGAGGAGAAAGAAAAUCUGCACGCAUUGACGUUACCCGCAGAGGAAGCACCGGCUAACUCCGUG
Molecule: ribosomal RNA, 490 nt
Filed under: uncultured bacterium
Lineage: Bacteria
Description: partial 16S ribosomal RNA
Rfam family: Bacterial small subunit ribosomal RNA
Source: RNAcentral